AAUAGAAACAUUCAGGAAUUAAAUUAGUUAAACUAAUAAAGUUUGGCAGUUAAAAUUAAUUAGAGAAAUUUGUUUUGUAAUCGUAAAUUCUCGUUAAAUUUAACUUGUAGCAAAAACCUAUAUACCGCCGUUUCUGAAAUAAAAAAAACAUAAUAUCUAAAUAAGCAUAACAUUAAAAAAUCAGGUCAAGGUAUAGUCAACCUAAAAGUAAAAAUUAAUUACACAUAAAAACAAUUUAAGGAAAUUUUAUUAAAAUAUCUUAGAAAAAGAAUCUAAAAACAAAUAAUAAUUAAAAAUUACUUUUGAAACACUAUAUUUUAAUGU
This 324-nucleotide ribosomal RNA is filed under the name Litoporus sp. Br15-107. Its description in RNAcentral is "partial 12S ribosomal RNA". Lineage: Eukaryota; Metazoa; Arthropoda; Arachnida; Araneae; Pholcidae. The record is from RNAcentral.